This 452-nucleotide long non-coding RNA is filed under the name Populus trichocarpa (black cottonwood). RNAcentral describes it as "long non-coding RNA (PTRI_LNC003300)". Lineage: Eukaryota; Viridiplantae; Streptophyta; Magnoliopsida; Malpighiales; Salicaceae. The record is from RNAcentral.
UCCACUGCUUGAUUGAUCGAAGAGGCCAUCGGAGUCUAUACUCCCCCAAUCUUCUUGUGAUGUCAAUGAUCCUUCAGCCGGUUCCACCAUACUCAUUAGGUUCGGUUCUUCUUCUAAUUCAAAAUAAUCUACCUUUAUGCUGCUAUCUUCAUCUGAAAGGACUCCUAAUCCAUGCUCUGGUUGUUCAAUUGACAAUCUAGGUUUCGUUUCUGAUUCACCCUUGGUUGCGUCUCCAUUCUCCGAUUCGCCCUCACUGCUGUUCACAGCAGCUCCUUGGCCACAACACUCUCCUUCCUCUACCGGCUUCUUCAUCAGAUCAUUUAGCUUCUGCAACUGUCAGAUUUUGGAAAACCCUUCGUUAGUACUAUGCACGCAAAUGUUUCUUUUCUUCCCCUCUACUACCAGUAGAGAACAAAAAACUGAAGAUGAAUAUGGUGUAUAUCAAGUACCUG